This 742-nucleotide ribosomal RNA is filed under the name uncultured bacterium. RNAcentral's name for it is "bacterial SSU rRNA". It matches the Rfam family "Bacterial small subunit ribosomal RNA", at positions 8 to 796 of the family's 1533-position model. The record is from RNAcentral.
AGAGUUUGAUCAUGGCUCAGAACGAACGCUGGCGGCAGGCUUAACACAUGCAAGUCGAGCGCUGUAGCAAUACAGAGCGGCGCACGGGAGAGUAAUACAUGGGAACCUACCUUUUGGUUCGGAAUAACGUCGGGAAACUGACGCUAAUACCGGAUACGUCCUUCGGGAGAAAGAUUUAUCGCCGAUAGAUGGGCCCAUGUUGGAUUAGCUAGUUGGUGAGGUAAUGGCUCACCAGGGCUACGAUCCAUAGCUGGUCUGAGAGGAUGAUCAGCCUCACUGGGACUGAGACACGGCCCAGACUCCUACGGGAGGCAGCAGUGGGGAAUAUUGGACAAUGGGCGCAAGCCUGAUCCAGCCAUGCCGCGUGAGUGAUGAAGGCCUUCGGGUUGUAAAGCUCUUUUGGCAGGGACGAUGAUGACGGUACCUGCAGAAUAAGCUCCGGCUAACUUCGUGCCAGCAGCCGCGGUAAUACGAAGGGAGCUAGCGUUGUUCGGAAUUACUGGGCGUAAAGGGCGCGUAGGUGGCUUGGCAAGUUGGGUGUGAAAGCCCAGGGCUCAACCCUGGAAUUGCACUCAAGACUGCCUUGCUUGAAUUCGGUAGAGGUUGGUGGAAUUCCCAGUGUAGAGGUGAAAUUCGUAGAGAUUGGGAAGAACACCCGUGGCGAAGGCGGCCAACUGGACCGACAUUGACACUGAGGCGCGAAAGCGUGGGGAUCAAACAGGAUUAGAUACCCCGGUAGUCC